Non-coding RNA from Meleagris gallopavo (turkey), 1282 nucleotides. The record is from RefSeq and is a predicted model, not a curated record. NCBI's taxonomy places the organism in Eukaryota, Metazoa, Chordata, Aves, Galliformes, Phasianidae.
AAGCUGCCCAAGCAGAGCAUUGGAUGGUGCUCCUGCAGAGGGGAAUAUGUCCCCUGUUGGCCUCUCGGCAUCCUCGCCUGCAUUCCAUGGGCUCCAUUCAGGAAACCUGGCAAAGAGAAGGGGAGAGGAGGGUCUGGAGGUGCUGUAAUGCAGGAGUGAUUUUCUGCACUCUGAGGUGUCCUAACACCCAGCUCCAUCUGAUACUGCUGCUGCAUCCAUUUAAAUCCCCCUCGUGUUUGCUGCUCUCAGGACCUGAAAAUAGAAGUGGGAACUGCUUUGUCUGACAGAUGAAGGGCAGGAAUCAAACAAUACAAAUACAUGGGUGGUUAUUCAGAGGGUUAAAUAAAACACAAAUAGAAUGCCUGCUUUCAUGCCUUUUUAUUUUAUUUUAUUUUAUUUGCAAAGCCUGGAUUGUCUCUUUGAUUCGCUCAUUCUGUGCAACUCCCAUUGCCUUCAAACAAGCUUUUAGGAUGCCUUUAAUCCAGCCCCAAACAACCAUCAAUCAUCAGUCACUACCUGAGCAGGGAUUUUUAGUACAGGAAAUGGCAAAGAAUUUAUCUCAUCUGAAGAAUCACUUUCACCUGUUGUACUCAUGCUGAAAUCCUUAAAGCCUCUGGCAGUUCAGUUUCCGUCCUGACUUUCUGCUGUUAUUUCCAACCCACAGCCAAUCCUACACACACCAGCAUGGUCCCAGCCCACGGCUGCUUGCAGGCUCCCUGUCCCACAGCAGGCUGUGCUCACACAUCGAUGAAACCCCACUGCAGGCACUCUGCUCCCCCUGCUAUGACCUCUCCCUGCUACUGAUGGAUAUGCAGCAUCUUUCCAUCCCGUCUGAUCUCCCCUGGUUGAAGGGAUGCUGCCAGAGGUGCUGGGUCCCCCUGGAAGCAACUCAGCAAGCUCAGCUGGAGCUUCUUCCAGGAGACUUUGUUGAGCUGCACCCUCAGCUGAAUUUAAUAAGAACUGCCUUUAGCAGGCCCUAUAGUCAGGAAGGGCACCCACCCUCCUGCAAGUUUGGGAUGUAUGCAGAAUGUCUGCACAGGGAGACAGGCAGGGCUGCCAGCUGCACCACGAGUGCUCUCAGGAGAACCCACCAGCUGACGCACGGUCUUAUCUCUAAGCUGGGCACUUGCGGGGGUGGGGGCUGCGCCCCGAGAAGACUGGUGGGUAAGGCUGCCAGCUCCUCUGGGCUGAGCAUGGAAGGGUGAGGGGAUGCGGGGCCGGACAGAGCGAUAGCAGAAGGGCGGCUGGGUGAGCGGAGGGUCCCGGCUGCGUGGCCGGGGCU